RNAcentral lists this long non-coding RNA (11836 nucleotides) under Arabidopsis lyrata. Its description in RNAcentral is "long non-coding RNA (ALYR_LNC000640)". Lineage: Eukaryota; Viridiplantae; Streptophyta; Magnoliopsida; Brassicales; Brassicaceae. The record is from RNAcentral.
GUUUUUUUUUUUGUCUGAAAGGAGAUGGAUGUUCGAAGAGGGAAACUGGAUCUUACGUUGUUAUGUAUUGUAUGAUUAUUCAUAUAACGGGUCCAUAUCAUUUACCUAACCUUGCUUUGUGUUUAGGUUAUUAAUGGCAGAUCAUAACUCUGAUGUUUCUUGUAAAUAAAAAGGAAACGUGUGCUGGUUAGAAUUAGAAACACCACUGUUUUAUGUUACCGGUUUUCUGAAUUUGUUAGGAAGUUUCGGUUUUUUCUCGGUUAUGCGCUAUUCGGUUUUCUCGGUUCAAAUCUCGAAGCCGGUGGAAUCAAUAUAUAUAUUGUUACUUUGAUUACUAAACCGAGUCACUAAUAUUGCUGUUUAUGUAAUCUGAUUCUUGUUAGUAUUAUUGUUAUAGGUUUGAUCGGUUAGGUUAUUUGGAUUUAUAUGGUUUUCUUUUGUACAUUUAUAUGAGAACCUUAGUUUUUACGGUGGACUCGGAAUACCACUCCGUUCGAAUUAUGAAACUCUUGUCACACUUUUUUAAUUUUUAUGAUCACUAAACCGUGAAAUUUUGUGGUAGCUCAACAUCUUCGGUAUAAUUCGGUUCGGUUAGGGGAUUUGGAUUUGGCUUUAUGUUGAAGGAGGAUGGUUGGAGAGAGAAAGACAAGUCAAAAGGCAAUGCAACACACAAAUGUUUUAAAACUUGAGAGUGUAGAUGAAAAGGAGCUGUUUGGUGGUUACAAGACAUAACUUUACAUCUAAAUAAAGUCUUUGAACAAAGACAUUGGAGCUUCAACUUCAGAAUUUACUUUUUGAGGACUAAUUUCUUCUCUAAUUUCGAUUGCGACCUUUUUCUCUUAAGCUAUUCAGUCUCGUCCACACCCAAACAAGAAGUCUUUGUAGUUUGUACUUCAAGACUUUUUGCCUUUCCAGUGUAAUAAUAUUUGCAUGUUUUAAUUUCUGCUAGUUAUGGAAUGUUUUUGGGCCUAUAUAUGUCUACGGCUACGGCCUCUAUGAAAUAUCGUUACCAAUCUAAUAUCUUGCUAAAACACUCGAAAAUGUAUCCAUUUUCAGAAUUUUUUUUUUCUAUCAUGUUUAUAUGCUUGAAUAUUAAUUAAAAAAGAAUCAUUUUUUUGGUUAAAAAAAAUAAUAAAUGCUACUUAUAGGUCUUGAAUGGGAACACAACUGUUUUAAGAUUUCUUUCAAAUACGCUUUACUACUACCAAUCACAAUUUAUUACACUAAUUUGCGUUUUUUACAAAAAAGAAAAAGUAAAUCCGCUCACAUUUUUCGAGACAACUCUAUUACUUAACAUAUAGAAUAACGCACUUCAGUUAACACUCCAUGUAAAAUCCAGCGGUACAAACAAAAACGCAUAUCCAUUGAAAAAUCAUUAAUAUUUUCUGUACUCACCAAAAAUCACAUAUGCAAAGGAAGAAGAAUAAAUAAUUUUUUCCCUCUCUUUUUAUGGUAAAUACAUAGAACAAAAUAGUCAAAUUAAGUUUCAUAAAAUUUUGUGUUUAGUUCAUUUUUUUUAAAAGCUUAAUUAGUUCAAAGCUAACUAAAAUUAGUUUACUAAUAUAUCAAAAUUUAAAUGAAUAUAUAUCUUUCUUAUUUAAUUUGAUUUAUGAAUGUUCAAUUAUAACAUUUUAUUGUAUACUACAAGUAGAUUUUUUAAAGUGUUGUAUUUUUUAAUGAUUAACUCUUUAAUUGAUAGAACAUUAUGUAUGUCAAAAAUUAAAAUUUUACGUUCAACAAUUUGGAUAUUUAAAAUUAUAAAUGUAUGAAAAUAUUUUUUAAUUAACAUCAAACAAACAAUAAUAUACAAUUAUACUAAUUAUUAAUAUAAUAAUAUUGUAAUAUAUUUAUGAUAAUAUAUAAUCGCACCGCUUUUUUUUGUUUUGCCAAUCACACAUUUAGUUGUGUACCGCAAAUAGUUUUUUCACCAGUCAAACAUUAUUUUGUACCGCUUAUUUUAUAAAAACCGCACUUGUCCCGCAAAUACAACAGUUGAACCGUACCGCACUAUAAAAUCGCUUUUUCCGCACAAUCAAAUACGCUGUUACCAUUCGGUUACCACUCGGACCAUAAAAUAAAGAAUCAUGCGGUCGAGUUAUCAAGAAAACGACAAAAGUUACGUGACAACUAGAGACUAAUCAUUGAUAAAUGAUGGAGCUUGUUUAAUGCCCUAGGAUUUUGUAGUUGUGUUUUUUUUUUCCGAAAUAGUUGUAAAAUUUGGAGUAUGUCUUCACCAAAAAUAAUAUUUAUGAAAAAGUGGUUGAAGCAAAACAGAUAAAACAAAAAAAACAUAAAAGCAUCAAGAUUCAUGAUAAAUACAACAAAAAUAUUUUUGGUUUCAUGAUGCUUCGAAUUCAUGAGAUUUCACGAAACUUCAAAACUCUAUGCUUAUCUCGUUCUGGACCUUGUGGUGACAUGGUUGGAAUUUGGAAGCUGAAAAAUAAUAGUACAUUUCCCUUUUGGUUUUCCAAAUACUUGAACGAUAUGAUUAGUUUUUCUUCUUCUCCUUGUCCUUGGAAUUGGUUGAUUCACUGUUUGAACACUCAACACGACUUUUAUCUAAAAUCUUAACGGAAAGCUCAAGCAGUACUAAGCGAACGAAAAAUAGGUUGAAUGGUGAUCAUGUUAUGUUACAUGUAAAAUAAUCAUCAAGAUUAGUUUUUUAGUUAAUAUUUGUUAAGUAGCCAAAUUGGUAAUUUUUCGAUUUGAAAUGUUCGUCGUUGAAAUUUGCAAUGGACACAAUGUUAAUUUUCUAACACAUAAAACAUGAAAUUUAUAAUGGGAAUGAAAAGGAGAGCAUAAAAUGGUAUCGAUGUAAAAGGGACAAAGAGAUGAAUACAAGGUACUUUUAAAAUAAAUAAAAAAUAAAAAACAUGAAAUUUGAAGAGAAUUUUUAAAAUUUAUAUUGCAUACAUACAAAUAUACGUACACUAAUACAAAUAACAUGAAAGACGUCAAAUAUAUAUUACUUAAUGAUAUGCCCUGUAUAACUUGGAUACCUCUUAAUUAUGAUUUCAAUAGCUAUAAUAGCCUUUAACCGAAUUGGCUGCCAUGUCUAGGGACCCAUGCUUGGGUACUAGCGAGGACGACAUCCAUUUAAGAUAAUCCAUCUUCCUUAAGAUGCAUUUAGUCAGCUUAAACCGUAGAUAAACAAACAUACCCCCUAGCGUCAAGCCAGCGAUAGCAAGAGUGGCAUAGAGCAACCAUUUUGUUUCUUCAAAAUAUGGUAAAAGGACCGAUGCCGCAGCCACAUAAGCACUUGCCAUAGCUGCAACAGCCACCCACAUCAUCCAAUGUGCGAUAACCAAGAACUUCUUUAGUGAAUCCUCCCUAUAAGGUAUAAUGCUGAGGAGAAGAAUGACCAUACUAACUGAUGUAAACAAUGCGAUGGUAUUGCUUAUCGAGAAGAUCAUGAAAGCUAGGGUUCUUCCUACGGUUGAUUUCCCUAUGUAGGGUCCCUCUUGAUGGACCCCACCAGGCGGGUUUAGACCGCAUGUGAAAGUAACCGAUGCAAUCAAGACAGCGACAAUUAUGAUUGUAUUCCUAGCGUUUUGCAAAGCCUCCAAUUGUAUCUCCAUUUGUUUGUUAGGACUCGGUCCCUCCAUUAGUAUCUCCAUUUCUUUGUUAGGACUCAAUCUACUAUGAACUCUUAGCAUCUGCGUCUGCAGCUUCUUCAAUACAUCUAAUACUUGGAUCUCAAGAUUUCCCAUUUCUCUAGGACUUGAAGGGUGUUCGAUUACUAUUUCCAGACCACACAUCAGAGCGGUAGAUAGCUGAUGGAAACCUUCAUCGUCUUCGUUGAGGAGGUCAAUCGCAGCAAAACCCUUUUUGUUUCUGGUGGUUACUUCUAUAUUUGUUUCGUCGAUUAUGUAAUUUACCAGCUGUGAUAUGUCCAAAUUGAAUAUAUUAAUUAAUUAAAUUAGGAGAUAAACAACAAAACCGCAUAUUUUUAAGUUUUCGGAUCAUAUAUCUUCUCAUGAAAAUAUUGUUUAAUGCAUCUAUAUAUAGUCUCAUAGAUAGAAGCAAAACAUCUCAUGAAAACAAAACAAAACAAAAAAUAAAGAGAAAGAGAAAACUUACGGCAAUAGAGCCUACGGAGGCAGCAACGUGAAGCACAUUAUUGCCCUCUGCAUCGAGCUGGUAGAGAAGUUUGCCUAACUUGGCACUCUUAGCCAUGAAGAUGAAAGCUUCGUUAUUCUUGUGUUUCGCAGCUAUAUGAAAGACAGUUUCUUUCUUUCCUCCUGUGACUGAGUCGAAAGACGAGGGCGACAUAUCGAGAUAUUCCCUAAGGAUUUCAAUAGAACCCUUCAUUGCCGCACAAUGUAAAGGUGUCAAGCCAUCGUUAUUCAUCAUUUCUUCAAGUUUUGGAUCAUCUAGGGUUUCUCCCUCGUAUUUCGUGGACAUCUGAAUCAAGGUGCUCGUGUGUCCCAAGCUAGCAGCGAAAUGAAGAGGAGUGUCACCUUUGGAGUUGGUGGAAGUGACUAGGGAAGGGCAGAGCUGCAAAACUUUUCCUUCGUUUGUUUCCGUCAGCCUAAACGAAUUCUCUUCCACGUACCGAGAAAAAGUGGCCUUGUCGUUUCUGCCGAAAUUUUGUGCAGUCAUCUUUAGUUUCAAGUGGCUUGAGAAAACUUUGAUCUACUUUAGAGUUUAGAAAUAAAUUUGUAUUUGCUGUUUAAGUUUGUUAUAUUCAUUCUCUUAAGGGUUCCUUUAAAUACUACUCUCUAAAGUCAACCACGCUCUCUUCGUCAAAAUAUAUAUUUAUUUUAUAUCUAUAUAGUUUCAAGUGGCUUGUUGGAGCUUUGAUCUAUUUGAGAUUUUCAUUCUCUUUAAACACUACUCUCCUCUCGUAAAAAGUCAAAAACUUAUUUUAGUUUCAAGUGGCUUGAGGAAACUUUGAUCCAUUUGAGAUAUAAAUUUGAAUUUGUUGUUUUAGAAUUGUUAUAUUCAUUCUCUUAAGGGUUAUUUUAAUUACUAGUCAGUGGCAGACCAAUUUUUUUAUUUUUUACUGGGUACAAUACAUAAUCUUAUUAUCAAUAUAUAGCAAAGUUUAUCUACACUAAUAUCAUUAAAAUCUACCAUACAUUAGAAGGUAAUACUUUUUUAAGAACAAAACUUUAGUAAAAAUUGUAAUCCUUUUUUUUAUUAAUGUGUUUUGGAGUCUAGUUAUGUGAUAUCUCAUAUAUUACCAUACAUGAUAUACACUGCUAGUAUAUGCGACUCCUUUAAUUUCCCUUGACGUGCGUCCGCCAUUGAAUCUAUCUAAAGUCAACGAUGCUCUCUUCAUUAAAUUUCAUUUUAUUUUUCGUUUAUAAAAUGAAAAUUUGGCCCACUUUACAGUUGCAUAAAGUAAUCGUUACAAUUUUAUUGGAUGUAUAGAGGUUGUAAUUUCUGUUAACAAUCUCUUCAUUGUCCACUAGGGUAAUUUUUUUUGUUGGUCAACUAGUUCAAAAAACUUAAAACCAACUUGUUGUUGUUAUAUCAAACACUCUCAAGUUUAAACUUAUAUAAGUUCCUAGCAAAUGGCACAAUACAAAAAGGAGAUGAAUCAACCAUUCCUAGGCCCUAGCUACAAGCCUAUAACGGAAUUAAGAAAGUGUGAAGAUAAUAAGUCUCUAUACCUUUGGAAGACUCAUUCUUCCACUAAUAACAGCUAAAACAAUUGAAAGAAUUUGCUCUGUUCCAUGAUUUCCUGUUAACCGAUUCAAUCUCAUCAGAGAAACUCUAUCCUAUUAAUAUUUGUGGUGUGGUAAGAUGUCUGCAUUUUCAUUUAAUAUUUGUGGUGUAUUAGGACAAUUGGUUCCUCUUUUCUCUUGCUUGUUUCUAUUUUCUGCUCAUUAAAAGUCGUUCGUCUGUUUUACUUAAACAUCACAAUUUUAGAAAGACAAAAAACAAACAAAUUUUUAUGUGGCAAACUCUUUUUCUUUGAAUACAAAGGUGGUAGUAAAAAAAAGUACUUUUUUAUAUUUUGUUUACAUCAUAAGAUGGUUCAUGAAUCAAUGGGCUAAUAAUAUUUUGUAAAAAAAGAAGAAAAAGUACUAAAGCUAUUUACAUCUAAAAGAUAUGUCAAUUUUCCUUUUUCUUUUCUAUACAAUUUUCCAGAGUUAUUUUUUUGUUAUUCUGUUGUUGAAGCCGAGUUUGUGUGAAAAAAAUAAACCAAUAACACGAUCACCUUCUUCUAAUCCACUUGCUCUUCAUCCUCAUCUUCACUGUGAUUCUUCUCCUCUGCAAUACCUUCUUUAUCUACAGACUCGCUUUGUGUCUCUUCUUCACUAUGUACAGCCCCGAGAUCAGUCUCUGUUCCAUGACCCUCCAGAGGAGCCACUUUGUCAUCUUCUGUAGUGGUACUUGGACUCUGCAUUGAUCUGUGUCAUAGUGUAUUAGUGUCAAGAAACUGUGACAGAGACAAAGACAAAAACUUUAAGUGUUGAGCAUAAUCAGUAUCAGAAAACUCACUCGUUUGUCACUUGUUGGGAUCUUGGAGAAUGGAGAUAACCCCAGACUGGAACCAGAUCUCUUGUUCUUGCUUCAAUAGUUCGAGUUUGGAUUCCUUCAAUCUCCAUCUCCCCUCCUCCACCACUAAUAUCUUCACCCCGAUUCAAUGCCAAUUUUUGAAACCUAAACUGUUUUGUGCAAAACACAUUACCAUUCUCCAACAACACAUUACCAUUUGUCCAGAUCAUUCUCUCAACAGAUGGAAAUUUUACCUUUCGCCUUUCCCAUAACGGUAGCUGAGUCGGCAGAUGCGUUUGCUGUUCUGCUUCAAAUAUGUACAAAUGACGAUUAUCAUCCACAUGGGUCUUUCCUUUCUUAGUUACUUUCCAAGCUUCCUCAACACUCUGUUUUCUAACAACCUCCGGAAACACUUUGCUUUUAGAAUCCACUGAUGUUCCACCUCCAUAUAUGUCACUGUGGUGAUCCUGCGUCUCUCUUCUAGAUCGGUUUUGGAUUAUGGACCACCUUCUUAUUGGAUCUACCGCUAACUUUCCUUCAGUCUCUAGACCUGACUCAAAGUCAAACCCCAUCAUCGCAGCAGUCUCAUGACCAGCACCAGCCGCAUUUUCCCGUAAGGCAUACUGUGUCAUACAUCCAGAAGGAGCAAACACCAGAAGAUUCGUCUUGGAGCACAUAUCAGCAACAGAACCAUAGUAGUUAUUGUUACUCUUUUCAUCGCAGUAACAGAAAGUGGAUGUGAUUGUACCCGGAACAGAGCCUCCAACCAUUCCAGCUGCUGCAGAAGCUGCAUCGCUCACAGUCCCAAUCCAUCCGCUGCUGUUUCCGCUUCUUAUCCUACUGAUUGCAGACAUAGGAACCGGAGAAUCCCCCUCUUUCUCAGGAUUUAUCUCAAACAGAUGACUUGUCCCUCUUGAAGAGCUAACCACAAUUAGAUUGCUAUCACUGCUGAAACAGAUGUCUUGUAUCACCUGAAAAUUCACAUUAAGAUAAAUCAAAAGCAUCACAUUUUCAACAUGUGUAGGUGAAGGGCUCUGCUUACCGCAUUAGUAAAACCGCGUUGAAGCCUGAACAGAUGGGCAAAAGUCGUUUUCUUCACCGCUCUGCUUGUAGAGAUUGUUGGCAUUAUUCUAAAGACGUUAAUAUUGUGCCCCUGAAUCGAAGCAGUCACCAAAAGCAGGCCACUUGGGUCAAAGCACAAAGCUGAAAUCGGACUCUUGUGUGCCUUAAACUGCGUUAUGACGCUUUUGUUUGUGAUAUCUUUGACAAUAACCUGCACAUACCAUGGAUAUGUUUAAGGCACAUACCAAUGGAAAAUCAACUUGAGAGCAAAAAAUUGAGGAGGAUUUUGUGUAUACCAUUCCUAUGCUCUCUGCAUCUGGCACAUUCUCAUUACCAACUCCAAUGCUUUUUAAACCAGGAAUAUACGGAUUGGGAAGAACCUCUGCGCAGUAUCGAGUCAAUGACUUGUACCCUUUGUCUCCAAGAUUUACUAUCCCAGAAGCGAGCUGCUUGCUCGAGUCUCUUGCAAAUUGUGCAACACUGGGUGAUGAUGACAGUGAGAGAAGUUCUGAAGUGAAAAUUGCAGAACUUGAGGUAGCAAUACGACUUCCGCUAUAUGCAAUCCAUCGUGGACCAACUGCAAGAGGGCCAUAUCCAACACCCGAGGAGCCACACACAAUGGAGUUAGUGACAAUCGUGUAAUCCAUUUCCAGUGUUGCAGCAUCAAAGCAAUCUAUCUGCAAAUACAUGUUUUUAAGUUACACGUUGUUAGUUUCAGAACAGAAAAAUCACAAAAACAAAAGUGACACAAUAUGACAUUUGAACCUGAGCUGCUUGUUGUACAGCAACAAUCCGAGAACAGCACCUAACCGAAUAAAUGGUAGCCCGGAAUUUCAGCGUAUGCACAUAAGACUGAGACUUUAACGAGUAGACAUAGACAUUAGUAGGAGUAGCCACGGUUUCACUUCCGGAGUUAUCAGAACUGAUCUUUUUACUUGAAUGUUCUUCCCAAGAAUCACCACACACAGCCAAAAGAGGACGGCUCUUAUAAAACCUAUCAUCUAAAGCUCCAGACUUUAUUGGAUUCAGUAGCAUUUGCAUAAAGAAUGCUUGUCCAUCAUGUGUAGAAACUAUAACGUGAACAUUCUCUGUAUCUUCAACAUCCCAAACUUGAAAUCCAGACUUAAAUGCUAGUAGAAGAACUCUUCGAGUAUCUCCAUCUUCUUUCUGUAGAUUAUCAAACCCCGCCCAUAGUACCUAAAGAUUCAAAAUUCAUCAACCAAGACUCAUCAAACACUCCAACAAACAUAAAGACCGCUCUUUUAAGAUAUCAAAAUCAUCCAAAUGAAGUAAAACAAUCCCAAAAGUUUCCAAAAAUUGAAGCAAAUACAAUACCUGAUCGUGAUGAGAAUCAACGUCCCUAACGGCGGAAGAAGCAGCUGAUACGGCGGAGCGAGCAACAGUAGAAGCACCAGAUGAAAUCACCUUAAGGCAAUUAGACAAAGCACGAAACGAACUCCGAGCUGAUCGUGACAUAACUCCGUCCGGCGACUUCGGAGAAGAACCGUCACCGUUUUUCCUCAUAAUGGUGGAGACUCUUCACUACCAAAAAGCUUUGAUCUUUAACCUCCAAAUGAAACAAAGUUUCGAUUUUUAUUCUCUAUAUCGACGCCUGAGAUAUUUCCAAGAAAAAUGAAUCGCCGAGAAAGACGGGGCAGAGAUAAAAAUUGCAAUUUUAAAACCGAAAUUGAAGAAAUUUGAUUAGAAUCUUUAAAAAUAGAAACAAAAUACACGCAAACUCGAAAAUUUGCUUCUUCUUCAAGUCGUCACGAAGCAAGAAACACACAAAUCAACAAGAAAGAAACAAAAAGAUCGAACUUUUACAAAAACCCAGAAGAUAGAAUCAACGAUCAAACUAACAAAAAGAUACUUAAGCUUGAAUCGCUAAAUGAAGAUGAUUGUAUAUACCUAAAAGCAACAAAUUUGUGUUGAAAUUGAAAAGAAUUAGAAGAUAUUAAAAACCCAGAAAAAAGAAUUAAGAGUCUCGAAGCAGUAAUCUGAUAAAGACUUUGGAAACGUUAAGGAGCAAGAAAAGGGGAAAGAUUUUUUGAGGAUAAGAAGAAGAGAGAGCGAAGAAGAAGACCUGAUUAAGAGUUGUUUUAGAAAUCUGUUGUUGUUUCAAAAACUUGAUAAAUGAUUUGUUUAUGCUUUCGUAUUUAUAUAUUGAAAAACAAAUUUCGGAUUAAGUUCUCAAAAACAAAUUUUGGAUUAAGUUCUCUUUUACGUAUCGUCUUUGUAUUUACUACAGAGAGAAAGAGAGACUCACCUUCCACGUCUCUUUCCCUAUUUAAAUUAAAAUAAAUCAUUGAGAAUGUCUGGUUUUUUUUGGUUAUACCAAUAAUUAAACCAAACCAACCUAAAUAUUAUUUGAAAUUUAAUACGUUUUAAUUCUCGAUUGCACUCAUUAAUGAGUUAAUUUUACGACGAAUUGACCAGAAAAAAAAAGGUCUAUAGUUUACAAUUGAUUAUAAGUUUUAUAACAAACCGUGUGUUUGACCCAAAAAAACGAACCGAAUUUUGCUUAUAAUAACAUUAAUAACUCUAAACCAAUCAAAUCUACCGAAAUUAGUACGACGUGCGCUAGUCUUAUCUUUUUUUUUUUCCGUGACGUGCGCUAGUCUUAGAUGAGGACUUUCAUUAGUUUAAUUUUUCUACUGUUCUUUUUAAUUAGUUUAUUGGUUAAAUAAAAUACUUUGGUUCGACUCGGUUUACUUGAACCGGUCACAAGCUCAAAAACUGAACCGAUGACAAUAUACGAGGAGUUUUUGUGGGUAUAUAGGCUCACGAAGUAGCUAGCUUUCUUCCUCUUUGUUCCCGGCUAAUUGAAGGAGGGUUUGACCAUAAUUAGUCUGACCAUAACUAAAAUGAAAACUUGGCGAGCAAGUUACUUCCUCUGUUUUAGUGUAGGAGAAGAUGUAAAACAUCACCAUUUCUUCAAUUAGGUUUUUCUUUUUUGCUUUUCCCUUAAGAACAUUCAUCAUGUCUCUGCUUCACUAUCCACACCUACGAAAUUUUCUUGGUUAAGUGGUACAAGAAGACCACUGGAAAGAUCAUUAACGGGUUUAGAGAAAAUGAAAACAAUAGCUGUAAUUAAUGGUGGUGUUCAAGCUCGACGAAAAAGGAAACGUUGUUUACACUCGAGACAUUGGAGAGAUCGCUGCAUUUCCCUCUCAGAAUCUGAACCUUCUUAUGAACCUGCUAGUUCUUGUGCUGGCCUGUGGCCUAACCACGUCGUAAUUUGUGAUGACCACGAAUUCCAAGUUGUCAAUUUGGCUGGUUCCCCAUUCUUUAGUAAAAUUUCUCUAUUGAGGGCACUCCAAAAUAUAGAAUAGCAUAGCCUCGAAUUGAGUCUGAGUGUGUCUUUUCUUUUAAACCUUUCAAACACCAAAUCUAUUUAUAGAAAAGAACCAUGUCAAGGUUUCAAUCCAUAUAGAAGUCAUGUGGAUCUUAUCCUAAUCCUCUACUGCAGGUACAUCCCAAGUAUACAUAUAUAAGCUUAUAUCACAAUUCUCAAUAAUUUCUUAAAACACAAACAUGAGACUUAGAGAGUGUGGUGUUAAAGAUUUUGAGUACCCAAGAACACUCUUUUAUUUAAGGGGGUAGGGCAAGUUACAUUACACUACAAGGUGUAAUAUUGCCACUAAGACUCUUAACUCACACAGUACAAACAUAUAUCUACGAUACAAACACGAACACGCCACAAGAGUGAGACUUUUUUUAUUAUCAUUAACAAAAUCACCAUGUGUGUACGUGUGCGUUUUUAUAGUCUGGUCCUCUUCAUGAUCUUAGUAAGGAGAUGCCUUGAACUGGCAGGAUUCAACUGCAGGGAUUUUGCAAAUCUUAGGCAAGUUCUGAGCAGUCUGAAACACAUGUUUCAUCUGUUGUUGUCCAUGCAUUCCCUGGAAUCUAACUUGUUGAGCAGCCUUUUUCAGUGUAGGACACACACACAUCUUGUCCACUUGUCUUAACUCAUUGCAACACAUUCUAAGAGCUGGUUGAUGUUGUUGAGGUGUUGGGUUCUCAUCGUCCUCAAAAUCAACAUCAAGAGUGAGCUCAAAGUCAUCAGCUUCGUAUCCGAUUCUUCCUUGUUGAGCUCGCUUGCGGAUCCAUUGCUUGCAACCUCUUAGUUGCUGAUGCUGCAUAAACUCCCUCUGGCACUUAUCUUGUUGUGGGUUGCUAACGUCGUCUUCUUCAUCGAACUCCACCACUGCGCGGUAGAUGGAUGCGUUGGCUAGGAGGAUGAAGAGAGCAAGAGUUGCGAAAACGAGAAUAAGCUUAGCCAUGGUUUGAUUUUGUUUAAGGAUUUGAGGUAUUUGGUGAGUGA